This 2628-nucleotide long non-coding RNA is filed under the name Lactuca sativa (garden lettuce). Its description in RNAcentral is "long non-coding RNA (LSAT_LNC007680)". Lineage: Eukaryota; Viridiplantae; Streptophyta; Magnoliopsida; Asterales; Asteraceae. The record is from RNAcentral.
ACAUUUUUUUGAAUAACAAUAUAUUAUAAACAAAAUCAAUAGACCAACGGGAAGAUGGAACAAUACAAAGAGUUGGUACAAAUAAAUAUAAAAGGGAGAAAAAAUACUAUCAAUAUCAACAAACCAAAACACAAAGCACAUCAAAAAAGACAAGUGCUUGCUUACUGAUCAACAACCAUGAAAAAAGAUGAUAACUAAACUCUUGAAUCUAGACAUCACCAAGAAAAUCAAUAAACCUUGAUAUCUUCGCACAGCAAGUAUGCCAAGUUCCUGUGAAGUCUUGAUUUAUAAAGGGGUAAAAGCAACACCAGGGGCAAUAUCGUCAAGUAUCGGACAAAACAGUCUUCUCUCACAAAAGUAGGAACUUUUCACCCAACAGAAAAACAAUAAAGCCACACCAAAUGCAAAAUGGUCCACAACAUAUUAAAAGGGAGGAUAUGUUUUCAAGUUCUCCACUAAAUAGAAGAAAUAAAAAAUGAUUAUUAACUUUAUAAGUCUAAAAUGUAAAACAUUUAAAGCAACAUAAAAAUUCAUUAUGACACUAUUAUGUGAAUAAGAUUAGUAAGAUGAGGCACCAAUAACUUUACUGAUUAAUUUUUUAAAUCAUCGUAUAUUUGUUUUUACUUUACAAACUGAUUAUCAUUAUUGUAAAAACUCCAAGAUAACAGUGUAAUUGCAAGAAUUCUCGUUAGUCUGCAAUGAAAACCACUUAUUCUAGCUAAGAAACAAAGAAAUUGUUUCAAAAUCUGCAAGAGACCAUGGUUUGAAAAGUCAACAGCAAAUAAAAGAUCAACCUCUGAUGGUCUAUUGCCUCUAGUUUGCUUUAUUUUCACAAGCAUCAGUGAUAAAACAAAGGAAAAUGAAAUUGCUUUUGAUCAACUAAAUUUACACCUAAUUAUGUUAGAUUUUGAAUGAUCUAUAAAUCUAACAAAAGAAAUUAAGCAAUCUCAUCUUGAAAACAUAGCUAAAACACAGAAAAACAAAAACCUGUCAUAAAUAAUUAUUAUAUUUUAUUAUCUAAACUACAUAGAACAAACAAUCUGCCAACAAACUGAAGGAUUAUAAAGUAAAGCAAAGUAAUAAAAAUUACCAGUAAACAUCAUUAAUAUUCCACCAAAUACUCUGCAGAUGAAAACACAAUCGAAUUUGGGGCUUUCACUAACCAAAAAAUCCAUGAUUUAUAAAACUCUUCAAACAGAACCCUGUAACCCAAAAAUUGUAAUGAAGAGUUAAUGGAAAUAAGAGACCAGUCUAGUAAUCAUCAGAUUUCAUCAAAUUGUUUGCUUCCACAAAAAAAUCAUGUUUUCAAGUUCUCCACUAAAUAGAAGAAAUAAAAAACGAUGUUGUCAAAAAAAAUGUCAGCGCCAUAAUUGAAGAAAAACACUAAAGCCACACCAAAUGCAAAAUGAAGAGUUAAUGGAAACAAGAGACCAGUCUAGUAAUCAUCAGAUUUCAUCAAAUUGUUUGCUUCCACAAAAAAAUCAUGUACUUAGAAGCCUUUGUAACUCAAUUGGUGAAGGAUAUUGUAAGCAUCCCCUAAUAAGAUAGCAAAUUUGGAAACUAUAACAACCUUUACAUUUGUUUUUUCCACAUCCCUAAAAAUGAGAUAAAAAUCCCAAUUAGAAAACUUUUUUCAAGGAAAAUGGUUUAGGAUUAACAUUCAACCAUUGGUAUUAAAAUCCUAAAGUGUGUGAGUCUGUGAUUACAAAAUGGAAAAACAGAGGCAUAACUUGGUGGUGGUGAGGACUAAAAUACACCGGCAUUUAUAUCAAAAUUAUCAUCUGGAACAACAUAACAACAACCUGAAAUUCAUACAUAGCAAAAGUUUUCAUCAAAAAAUACAAAAAAAAAACCUAAAUCGAUCUGUAUUAAUUAAUGAAGAAGCAUGAAAAAUCUCACUUGUUUCUAUAGAUCGAGACACAAAACAGAUGAGAUUGAGGUGGUCCAACAGUGGCAUCUAAGGUUUGCGACAAAGACAAUAACGUCUAGGGUUUACAGUGACAGAGAGGCAGAGUGACGAUGGUCAUAGUGAUGGCGUUUAGGCUGUGCGGCGGAUUGUGAACGAAAAAGAUGGAUGGAGUAGAGAUUAGGUCUUGAUUGUGAGAGGAAUACAUGGUUUGGGUGUACACAAGUGAGAAGGGAUCAAAGAGAACAGGUUCUGGGCUAGUUUGCGAAAAUAUACCAAAAAUCUAGAGCAGUGGUCGAAGAAGAGGAAGAAGAAAGGACUGUGGUCCUUAUUUAAAAGCUUACCUGCAGGGUGGCAACUGGAGAGCAGCGGUUUGUGGCCGUAUCUGACUCUAAAGAGUAGUCAGUGGUGUUAGAUUUUCAGACAUCGAUGGAGAUCGUUAGUAUGUUUGGGUGUACAUUAUGAAUCUAGGGUUUUCAAAGAGAACGUCAGAAUGGAAAAGGUGAGAGACGGCGACGUUAGGGAGUGGUGGUAUGGCACGAUUUUAUAGAGAGGAGUUGUGGAAUGAAAACAUGAGAUCGUUCCAUUUCAGUUCAAAAUAAAUGGGGAAGAGUCGAAAUUUUAGGCGCGCCAGGUCAAAUACUCAAAUUGAACCGGUAAGCAUGGAUAUACAAGGGAGGCGGUGUAAAAAUUAACCAAAUAUUUAAAAUUUUGGAUUCCGC